This 405-nucleotide long non-coding RNA is filed under the name Capsicum annuum. RNAcentral's name for it is "long non-coding RNA (CANN_LNC001362)". The record is from RNAcentral. Lineage: Eukaryota; Viridiplantae; Streptophyta; Magnoliopsida; Solanales; Solanaceae.
UUUGCAAUAGCAUCUUGACCAGCCUUGCGAUAAUCAUAUGGACACUCAUGCUUGUCCGAGUAACGAUGGGCUGAGCAGAAAAGAUUCCCACAUCGGCAAUUGAAGCCGGUCAAACCAACUCGUUUCCUGCAGGUGCUGCACCUUUUUGGUCCCUGCUUAGCCUUCUCAACUUCUUUGCUCUCGGGUGGACAUGCAACUUGUGUGGGUACAACCAGGGACUCUGCAGGACCUUUCUGCACGGUUGCAGCAACAUCAAUGGCUUUCACACUAGUGCUUGAACUUCCAUUCACAAAGCUUUCAAUAGAUGAAGCGGCAAAGUUAGCUUGUUCUUGCUUAAACAUCAUAUCCUUGUAGCACUUUGAGCACAAGUUCAUUGUAGCUGCAGUUCCAAAAAACCCACAAUUG